AGAAAGAUGUUGAAUUAUCAGCAAAACAGCAACACCUCAUUUCUGUUGACUGAUAACAAUGUAACGUUAUACUCGAGACGUAACAUAAGAGAGCAACAGGGUCAGGAAUUAACACUAAACUCUUCAGGCAUUUUGUUAUAGCAGAAGGAACAAGACAAAUUCAUUUAGAGCUGGAUAUUGUGGUUCGUCGACGAGAUUUUGGUUGAGUUUCAAGCCAUUUCGAGGUCGUCAUUAUGUGGAAGUAUCUCGUAGUUUUGAUGUUGGUUUAUAACUACAUCGAGUCAGUAACGAGUCAAGCUUGUUCUCGUGCUUCGAUGAUCCGCGAUGGGACGUGUACAACCCAGUGUGCACCCUCCGCGGGAUGUCCUGAACCAGACUCUGACUGUCUGUGUGAUUCCCAAUGUGGAUAUAGCUGCGUCAAAAAAGGUCUGUCUUGUGGUCCGGCCCCAACCAUACGUAAUGCGGACCUAACAUCAUCUGGGACAGCCUUUAAUGAUACUGUGGUAUACACAUGUCAGUCUGGUUAUACCAUAAAUGGUGAUGACGUAAGGAGAUGUACUGCUAAAGGAACGUGGAGUGGAGUUGGUCCUACAUGUUUGCCCGUUUGCCAGCAGCCCGACUUGCCAUUUGGCUCGUACGUGAAGACUAACAUCAAGUCAGAGUACAAGACAGGAGAGAGUAUUACGCUUGACUGUAAAACGGGCUUCAUAAAGGAGGGUAAUCCAAGAAGAAUUUGUAUAUCUGGAAGGUGGACAGCAUUUCCAUUUGAAUGCAAAGCAACACAUUCCUGUCCAAGAACAAUCCGCGCCUCUCGAACCAGGUGUACUAAUAAAUGUUCCCCCGACGAUCCUGUUGGGUGUCCCGCGGGACACAGAUGUCUUUGUGACGGGCAGUGCGGCUACAGUUGUGUUGAGCAAGGUCUGCAGUGUCCUUCCCCCACUCGAGUUAAGAACGCUCUUAUAAAAUUCAAUAACACUGGAUACAAUGACACUGUAACGUACAAGUGUCAAGAGAACUUCACCCUCAACGGCGAUAGAGUACGAAGAUGUACAGCCAAGAAGAGAUGGGGAGGAGCAGUACCUUCCUGUUUACCGGACUGCGGCCAGCCAAGAGUUCCUCAACACGCCUACAUCGAAAACAAGAAGUCUAAAUACGCCUCUGGUGAUCGAGUGACGUUCAAAUGUGAUGCAGGUUACAAUCAAGAAGGAAUAUCAACAACAUUGUGUUUCAUGGGAAGGUGGAAUGUAAUGCCUUUUAGAUGUGAUAAGGGAGGAUGUGGGGAUCCUGGUACACCAGANAACGGCAAUAAAGUAGGAAUAUCUUACGCACCAGGAAGGGAAGUGUUNUUCUCUUGUAACAUUGGAUACGUUCGUGUUGGUUCUGAAAAAAGAAGAUGUCUUCAUAACAACACGUGGAGUGGUACACAACCAACCUGUAAACUCAUCGAUUGUGGACCGCCUCAAGUACUAAAGAACGGAACUGUAAUCGGUAGUGAGACGACCUUCCAAAAAUCUAUCUCUUUUAAAUGUGAUGAAGGAUUCGAGUUGGACGGAAAUCCUAGUGCUAUCUGCCAGUCAGACGGAAAAUGGAGCAUAGAACCGAAGUGUAUCCCUGUAGACUGUGGUAGCUUGGAUGCCCCUUUACAUGGAUCCAAAAUCGGCAAUCAAUCCACCUUUACAAACAAGAUACUAUUCUCUUGUGACCCUGGCUACAAAUUGGUUGGAUCAGCUGUUAGAUAUUGUCCUUUUACUGGAGUAUGGGACGGCGUUCAGCCUACAUGUCAGGCGUUGGACUGUGGUGUUCUUAAAGCUCCUAUGAACGGAUCAAUUCAGGGCGAUAAAUGGACUUAUCCAAACUCGGUCAGUUUUGACUGUGAUAAGGGAUUUGAUUUGAUUGGCUCCUCUGUGCGCACGUGUCAGACGAAUGGAAUCUGGGGGGGACAAACAGUUCGCUGUCAAGCGGUUGACUGUGGAAAACUUGUAAUACCACAAAACGGAUCUCUGACCGGAAGUCAGACAACGUAUCCAGCGACAAUAAAAUUCCAAUGCGAUGAAGGUUUCCUGUUGAAAGGUUCAAAGUACAGAAAAUGUCAAGCUGAUCGAACAUGGAGUGGGAAGCUCACCUCUUGUGAAGCUGUUAGCUGUGGCAAACCAGCUUUUGUGGAGUAUGGACGCCCUUUUGGUGGAGGAAUGACGUACCCUAACGUUAUCGUCUAUAAGUGCGAAGAAGGGUACCUGCUGAAUGGACCAAAAACUAGACAAUGUCAGGCUAAUGGAACAUGGAGUGGAAGAGAUCCAACAUGUGAUGCCAUCAGCUGUGGUGUCCUAAAUGCUCCAAUAAAUAGUUCCAAGAUCGGUAACGUCUACACGUAUCCUAACGAUGUCACAUUUUCCUGUGAUCAAGGCUUUGAUUUGAUUGGCUCAAAAAGCCGCGUGUGUCUGUCAGACGGUUCCUGGAGUGGAGAAGACACUUUCUGUAAAGCGGUUGACUGUGGUCCUCUUGCUGUUCCUAUGAAUGGUUCAUUGAAGGGCUCCUUGACAACCUUCCCUACUGUCGUCAUGUUUGACUGUGAUAGGGGAUUCAGGAUGAAAGGAUCUACAUCAAGAAGAUGCCAAGCCAAUAGAAGAUGGAGUGGCAGUCUCUCGACUUGUGAAGCUGUGGACUGCGGUCCUCUAAAACGACCAAUGAACGGGUUCAUCCUUGGCUCAGCUACAGUUUUCCCCAACAAAAUAUCAUUCUCCUGUGAUGUUGGAUUUCUGUUGAGAGGAUCACAGCAGAGGGAGUGUCAGGCAAAUGGAAAGUGGAGUGGCAAGGCCACAAGGUGUGAAGCUGUCGACUGUGGGUAUCUUCCUGCACCGAGGAACGGAUCGAAAAGAGGAGAUUUAACGUACUUCCCGAACAGAGUGAUUUUCUACUGCGACAAGGGGUUCAAGUUAAUAGGAUCAAAAAUAAGAACUUGCUUGGGGAAUGGAAACUGGAGUGGAAGGACCACGUACUGUGAAGGUGUAGAGUGUGGUCGUCUAGCUGUACCAACGAACGGAUCAAUGGUGGGCAACAAAUUUUUCUAUCCAAACGAAAUCAAGUUUUCGUGUGACAAAGGGUUUGUGUUAAGAGGAUCGUCUUUAAGAAAAUGCUUGCAUUUCAGAAUGUGGAGUGGAUACUCAACUCAUUGUGAAGCAAUCGACUGUGGUCCUCUAUCUAUUCCUGUGAAUGGCACUAUCCGUGGAAACCUCACUGAUUACCCGAACACAAUCAAGUUUAUUUGCAAUCGAGGGUUUGACUUGAUUGGCUCUAAAGAAAGAGAAUGUUUGUCCAAUGGAACCUGGAGUGGAACAAAGUCAUUGUGUAAAGCUAAAAACUGUGGCCCUCUGGUCGCGCCCAUGAAUGGCACCAUGAUAGGCAAAAAGACGGUAUUCCCGAACAUCAUAAGGUUUAUGUGUGACGAAGGGUUUGAGAUGUUUGGAUCUCCAAUAAGGAAAUGUCUAGCAAGUGGAAAGUGGAACGGAAUGCGACCGAAGUGCAGAGCUGUGAAUUGUGGUGUACUUCCAUUACCAAAGAAUGGUUCAGUUUAUGGUAGCAAGACUGUUUUUCCGAACACUAUAAGAUUUAGUUGUGAUGAAGGAUUUGAUUUAAUUGGUUCAGCUGCUCGAACAUGUCUACCCAAUGGAACUUGGAGUGGACGCAUGACAUCCUGCAAAGCUGUCGAUUGUGGUCCUCUUUCUGCUCCUCAAAAUGGAUCCAAACAAGGAAGCUUGACCGUGUUUCCAAACAGCAUUACAUUCAACUGCGACGAGGGGUUUGAUUUGAUUGGAUCAUCUUUACUGUUUUGUACAUCGAAUAGAACAUGGGAUGGUUUCCAUCCAAUCUGCAAGGCCGUUGAUUGCGGUCCUCUUGCUCUUCCACAAAAUGGUUCCAAACACGGAAGCUUGACAGUUUUUCCCAAUACCAUCGCCUUCAGCUGUGACGAAGGGUUUCUUCUUCGUGGUUCGUCGUCACGUAUCUGCCAGGCCAACAGGACAUGGAGUGGUAUCCUUACUCGAUGUGAAGCGAUCGAUUGUGGUCCUCUUGCUGUACCCAUGAAUGGAACGAUGGAAGGAACAAAGACUGUAUUUCCAAACAUUCUUACAUUCAGUUGCGAUGAAGGCUUUGAUCUCCUGGGGUCAUCCCAACGGACAUGUUUGUCAAAUGGAAACUGGAGUGGUACUCAACCAACAUGUCAAGCUGUUGAUUGUGGUCGUCUUGCUGUUCCUCAAAAUGGAUCGCUUGAAGAAUCUUCUACGGUCUUUCCUAACGUCAUCACCUUCAGCUGUGACGAAGGUUUCCUUCUUCGUGGUUCAUCGUCUCGUGUCUGCCAGGCCAACAGGACAUGGAGUGGUAGCUUGACGCAUUGUGAAGCCAUAGAUUGUGGUCCCCUGGCCGUGCCCAUGAAUGGGUCAAUGUAUGGAAGCAGCACGGUGUAUCCAAACAGCAUAGAGUUUAAAUGUGAUGAAGGAUUCGACUUACUCGGACCGCCUGUGCGCAUAUGUUUGUCGAAUGGAAAAUGGAAUGGCAAUCAAACAACGUGUAAAGCUGUUGACUGCGGUCAUCUUGCUGUCCCACAAAAUGGAUCCAAAUACGGAAGCGUGACAGUUUUUCCCAAUACGAUCAAGUUCAGCUGUGAUGAAGGGUUUCUUCUUCGUGGUUCAUCGUCGCGUGUCUGCCAGGCCAACAGGACAUGGAGUGGAAUGCUUGCGCGAUGUAAAGCUGUAGAUUGUGGCGCCUUGGAUGCUCCCCGAAAUGGAUCACUUCAAGGAGCUUUAACGGUGUUUCCUAAUAUCAUCACCUUCAGCUGUGACGAAGGGUUUCUUCUUCGUGGUUCAUCGUCUCGUGUCUGCCAGGCAAACAGGACAUGGAGUGGUAGCAUGACACGAUGUGAAGCUGUUAAUUGUGGCCAGCUUGCUGUACCCAUGAAUGGAUCAAUGUAUGGAAACAAAACAGUCUUCCCACAUAUUAUCAAGUUUACAUGUGACGAAGGGUUCGAUUUGAUUGGCUCAUCGGUGCGUUCGUGCUUAUCAAAUGGAAAGUGGAGCGGCAAUCGAACGAUCUGCGAAGCGGUGGACUGUGGUCCUCUUGCUCUUCCACAAAAUGGGUCCAAACACGGAAGCUUGACAGUGUUUCCCAAUACGAUCAAGUUCAGAUGUGACGAAGGUUUUCUUCUUCGUGGUUCGUCGUCACGUAUCUGCCAGGCCAACAGGAUAUGGAGUGGUAUCCUUACACGAUGUGAAGCUAUAAACUGUGGUGCCCUGUCUGUGCCUAUGAAUGGAUCCCAGUUUGGAAGUAGUACCGUGUUCCCCAACAGUAUAACAUUCAAGUGCGACAAAGGAUUUGAUUUGAUUGGAUCGUCUGUGCGUAACUGUUUGUCAACUGGCAAAUGGGACGGCAACAGCACUACCUGCAGAGCGGUUGACUGCGGUGCUCUGGCAGUUCCACAAAAUGGAUCCAAACACGGAAGCUUGACAGUGUUUCCCAAUACGAUCAAGUUCAACUGUGACGAAGGGUUUCUUCUUCGUGGUUCAUCGUCACGUGUCUGCCAGGCCAACAGGACAUGGAGUGGUAUCCUUACACGAUGUGAAGCUAUCAACUGUGGUCCUCUUAUCACGCCCAUCAAUGGAUCAGUUAUAGGAAACGAAACAGUGUUCACUAACAGUCUUAAAUUCAGCUGUGAUCAAGGUUUUGACAUUCUUGGAUCUUCUAGACGAACCUGUCUGUCCAAUGGAACCUGGAGUGGAACAAUUGCAACAUGUAAAGCUGUUGACUGUGGUCCUCUUGCUGUCCCACAAAAUGGUUCCAAACAUGGACGCUUGACAGUGUUUCCCAAUACGAUCACCUUCAGCUGUAACGAAGGGUUUCUUCUUCGUGGUUCAUCGUCACGUAUCUGCCAGGCCAACAGGACAUGGAGUGGUAUCCUUACACGAUGUGAAGCAAUAGAUUGUGGCUUUAUUCCUGCUCCAUUGAACGGAUCCAUAUUUGGCAACCACACUAUCUUCCCAAACAGCAGAACGUUUCACUGUGACGAAGGAUUCGAUUUGAUUGGCUCAUCUUUAAGAACCUGUUUAUCGAACGGAAAUUGGAGUGGCACUCAACCUUCAUGUAGAGCGGUUGAUUGUGGUCCUCUUGCUGUCCCACAAAAUGGAUCCAAACACGGAAACUUGACAUUGUUCCCCAAUACGAUCGCCUUCAAAUGUUACGAAGGGUUUCUUCUUCGUGGUUCAUCAUCACGUGUCUGCCAGGCCAACAGGACAUGGAGUGGAAGCUUGACGCGUUGCGAAGCCGUAGAUUGUGGUUCCCUUUUUGCUCCAAUGAACGGAUCCUUCUAUGGAAACAAAACGUUCUUCCCUAACAGCAUAAAAUUCGAAUGUGAUGCCGGAUUUGACCUCCUCGGAUCAUCAGAGAGGACCUGCCUUUCAAGUGGACAAUGGAGUGGAAACAUGACAUCAUGCAAAGCUGUUGACUGUGGUCUUCUUGCUGCCCCACAAAAUGGAUCCAAACGUGGAAGCUUGACAGUGUUUCCCAAUACGAUCACCUUCAGCUGUGACGAAGGGUUUCUCCUUCGUGGUUCAUCGUCACGUGUCUGCCAGGUCAACAGAACAUGGAGUGGAAUCCUUACUCGAUGUGAGGCUGUGGACUGUGGAUCGCUUACUGUGCCUGUUAACGGCUCAAUGACUGGAAAUAUAACAACCUUUCCUAACAACCUAAGGUUUUGCUGUGACGAGGGUUUUGACCUUCUUGGGUCAUCUGUGAGGACUUGCUUGUCAAUUGGAAAGUGGAGUGGCAACAUGACAACAUGUAAAGCUGUUGACUGCGGUCAUCUUGCUGUACCGCAAAAUGGAUCUAAACACGGAAGCUUGACAGUUUUUCCCAAUACGAUCGGCUUCAGCUGUGACGAAGGGUUUCUUCUUCGUGGUUCAUCGUCACGUGUCUGCCAGGCCAACAGGACAUGGAGUGGUAUCCUUACACGAUGUGAAGCAAUCGAUUGUGGUCCUCUUGCUGUACCCAUGAAUGGAACAAUGCAAGGAACAAAGACUGUAUUUCCCAACAUUCUUACAUUCAGUUGCGAUGAAGGCUUUGAUCUCCUGGGGUCAUCCAAACGGACAUGUUUGUCAAAUGGAAACUGGAGUGGUACUCAACCAACAUGUCAAGCUGUUGACUGUGGUCCUCUUGCUGUCCCACAAAAUGGAUCCAAACUCGGAAGCUUGACAGUGUUCCCCAGUAGGAUUAAAUUCAACUGUGACGAAGGGUUUCUUCUUCGUGGUUCAUCGUCACGUGUCUGCCAGGCCAACAGGACAUGGAGUGGAAUCCCUACACAAUGUGAAGCCAUAGACUGUGGUCCUUUAUCUGUUCCCAUGAAUGGAUCCCUGCUCGGCAACAAAACAUUCUAUCCGAACAUCAUAACAUUCGUAUGUGAUGAAGGAUUCGAUAUCAUCGGAUCUACUGAACGAAAGUGUUUAUCAAAUGGAAAAUGGAGUGGUUCAAUAACAUCUUGUAAAGCUGUAGAUUGUGGACGUCUUGCUACACCUCUCAAUGGAUCUGUGUUUGGCUCAUCUACCGUCUUUCCAAAUAAGGUCUCAUUCCAAUGCAAUGAAGGGUUCCUUCUAAGAGGACCUUCAGUUCGAGUUUGCCAGUCAAAUAGAACCUGGAGCGGAGAAGAGACUAAAUGUCAAGCAAUAGAUUGUGGUUCCCUCGAUGUGCCUACCAAUGGGUCCCUCCUUGGCGACCUUACAGUUUUUCCAAACAAGAUUAGAUUCACAUGUGAUGAGGGAUUUGACCUCCUGGGAUCUCCAAUGAGAACCUGCCUGUCAAACGGGACAUGGAGUGGCUCUAGAGUAUCAUGCAAAGCUGUUGAUUGUGGCUCUCUUGCUGUACCAAUGAAUGGAUCUUCAUCUGGAUCUCUAACGACUUACCCCAACAAAUUCGUGUUCACGUGCGAUAAGGGCUUUAUUCUGAUUGGUUCGUCAGUGCGCACGUGCCUUAGCAACAGAACGUGGAGUGGACCAAUGACGCGCUGUCAAGCUGUUGAUUGCGGUCCUCUUGCUGUCCCUAUAAAUGGCACAUCCAAGGGUUCCUUAACAUUCUACCCAAACGUUAAAACCUUUCACUGCGAUAGAGGGUUCAUCUUAAGUGGAUCGUCUACCAGACAAUGUCAAGCCAGUGGAACAUGGAGUGGCGACAAAGCAGUCUGUACAGAAAUGGUUUCGCCUGUGGAGAAAGAACAGUUUUCCCUCACUCCAUUAAAUUCCAUUGUGAUUCGGGGUUCGUGCUGAUCGGCUCGCCCGUGCGACGAUGUCAAGCAAAUGGUGUUUGGAGUGGGACAACCACUUACUGCCGAGCUGUUGACUGUGGUGCUCUAGAAGCCCCUAUGAACGGGACAAAGAAAGGAAGUCAAACUGUAUUCCCGAAUGUUGUUCAGUUUGGUUGUGACAAGGGUUUCAUACUUCAAGGUUCAAGUGAUAGAAUUUGUCAAGCGA
This 8504-nucleotide unclassified non-coding RNA is filed under the name Actinia tenebrosa (Australian red waratah sea anemone). RNAcentral's name for it is "cUB and sushi domain-containing protein 1-like, transcript variant X6". Lineage: Eukaryota; Metazoa; Cnidaria; Anthozoa; Actiniaria; Actiniidae. The record is from RNAcentral.